RNAcentral lists this non-coding RNA (45 nucleotides) under Schistosoma mansoni. The record is from RNAcentral. Lineage: Eukaryota; Metazoa; Platyhelminthes; Trematoda; Strigeidida; Schistosomatidae.
AUCCAGCUGACGAGUCACAAAUAGGAUGAAACGCACGUCGUCGAU